CCAGGGUAAUAUCAUGACAGUAGAUGGUAGACCAGGGUAAUAUAAUGACAGUAGAGGUUAAUAUAAUGACAGUAGAUGGUAGACCAGGGUAAUAUAAUGACAGUAGAUGGUGGACCAGGGUAAUAUAUUGACAGUAGAUGGGAGACCAGGUUAAUAUAAUGACAGUAGAUGGUAGACCAGGGUAAUAUAAUGACAGUAGAUGGUCGACCAGGGUAAUAUAAUGACAGUAGUUUGUAGACCAGGGUAAUAUAAUGGCAGUAAAUGGUAGACCAGGGUAAUAUAAUGACAGUAGAUGGUAGACCAGGGUAAUAUAAUGACAGUAGAUGGUAGACCAGGGUAAUAUAAUGACAGUAGAGGGGAGAUCAGGGUAAUAUAAUGACAGUAGUGGGGAGACCAGGGGUAAUAUAAUGACAGUAGAUGGUAGACCAGGGUAAUAUAAUGACAGUAGAUGGUAGACCAGUGU
Molecule: long non-coding RNA, 463 nt
Organism: Oncorhynchus tshawytscha (Chinook salmon)
Lineage: Eukaryota; Metazoa; Chordata; Actinopteri; Salmoniformes; Salmonidae
Source: Ensembl